AGUUUUAUAUUCAAUAAAUGAUAUUAAAUUGCAAAUUUAAAGUAGUAAUUUUACUAAAGCUU
This 62-nucleotide transfer RNA is filed under the name Molannodes epaphos. RNAcentral describes it as "tRNA-Cys". The record is from RNAcentral. Lineage: Eukaryota; Metazoa; Arthropoda; Insecta; Trichoptera; Molannidae.